Molecule: ribosomal RNA, 486 nt
Filed under: uncultured bacterium
Lineage: Bacteria
Description: bacterial SSU rRNA
Rfam family: Bacterial small subunit ribosomal RNA
Source: RNAcentral
UGGCUCAGGAUGAACGCUAGCGGCAGGCUUAACACAUGCAAGUCGAGGGGUAUAGUUCUUCGGAAUUAGAGACCGGCGCACGGGUGCGUAACGCGUAUGCAAUCUACCUUUCACAGAGGAUAGCCCAGAGAAAUUUGGAUUAAUACCUCAUAGUAUAGCAGUUUCGCAUGAAACCACUAUUAAAGUCACAACGGUGAAAGAUGAGCAUGCGUCCCAUUAGCUAGUUGGUAAGGUAACGGCUUACCAAGGCAACGAUGGGUAGGGGUCCUGAGAGGGAGAUCCCCCACACUGGUACUGAGACACGGACCAGACUCCUACGGGAGGCAGCAGUGAGGAAUAUUGGACAAUGGGCGCAAGCCUGAUCCAGCCAUGCCGCGUGCAGGAUGACGGUCCUAUGGAUUGUAAACUGCUUUUUAUACAGGAAGAAACACUACUUCGUGAAGUAGCUUGACGGUACUGUAAGAAUAAGGAUCGGCUAACUCCGUG